Copidosoma floridanum is the source of this 814-nucleotide long non-coding RNA. RefSeq lists it as uncharacterized. NCBI's taxonomy places the organism in Eukaryota, Metazoa, Arthropoda, Insecta, Hymenoptera, Encyrtidae. The record is from RefSeq and is a predicted model, not a curated record.
UCUUCGAAAACAGUACCACGCGUCAAUGCAGCGAACGGCAGUCAACUCAGUCUCCUUCGGGACGCCAGCAAGAUACCCUUGCGUGAGUGUAUACGAUGGUGAAAAAAAAAAUGUUUCAAUCAUUCACGUGUAUCGUCGCCAAUGUUGAUGGAUUCCGUGCAUCAUCAGCGAGUUAUGUGUGAUGUUGGUCGAUAAAAGUUGAUUAAGUGACCUUUUUGGAACUGGUCUUGAAAUGGGCGUUCUGGCGUUGGACGGUGUGGAUAUGUACUGUGGGCAGUUGAGGCCAAAAUUUUUAUCCCGCGGACCUCAAGUCAUCACCGGCGAGGGAAAAAAGUCUGAAGCCGACGACUGCCACCACAGACAAAAAAGGCGAUACAAUACAAGAGCUGCCGAGACUGUCCGUUGAAUGAGCCUUUGAUUCGCUUUCCCAACAAACAUUGAGAUUGCCUUUGCCUGCAGCAUCAGCACGAGCCUCUGGCUUUUGUUUGGCAUCGGUUCAGAUGAUCCGUGAGCUUAUCCAGGUGGAUGCGAAUUGCGGAAGAAAAACGGGAAAGACCAACAUGAAAACCAACUAUGGGAGGGUUGGCAUGCCUGACGUGGUGGACCAAAAAAUCAACUUCAAGCUACUGAACGACCUAUACCUAUUUCUGCACAAACUCCCUUUUACUUAUUGCACAUGUACAUUCGAGGAAUUUUUUGAGCGGAAUGGCUGCCUUGAAAUAAUAAAUUUAGAAGAGCGACUCAUCGAGUGGAUUAAUGAAGGAUAUAUAUGUUCAUUUCGCACAAUUGUUUUCAUUUUAAUUCAACGCAAUGU